GGGACACGUGGUAUCCUGUCUGAAUAUGGGGGGACCAUCCUCCAAGGCUAAAUACUCCUGACUGACCGAUAGUGAACCAGUACCGUGAGGGAAAGGCGAAAAGAACCCCGGCGAGGGGAGUGAAAAAGAACCUGAAACCGUGUACGUACAAGCAGUGGGAGCCUCUUAAUGGGGUGACUGCGUACCUUUUGUAUAAUGGGUCAGCGACUUAUAUUCUGUAGCAAGGUUAACCGAAUAGGGGAGCCGAAGGGAAACCGAGUCUUAACUGGGCGUUAAGUUGCAGGGUAUAGACCCGAAACCCGGUGAUCUAGCCAUGGGCAGGUUGAAGGUUGGGUAACACUAACUGGAGGACCGAACCGACUAAUGUUGAAAAAUUAGCGGAUGACUUGUGGCUGGGGGUGAAAGGCCAAUCAAACCGGGAGAUAGCUGGUUCUCCCCGAAAGCUAUUUAGGUAGCGCCUCGUGAAUUCAUCUCCGGGGGUAGAGCACUGUUUCGGCAAGGGGGUCAUCCCGACUUACCAACCCGAUGCAAACUGCGAAUACCGGAGAAUGUUAUCACGGGAGACACACGGCGGGUGCUAACGUCCGUCGUGAAGAGGGAAACAACCCAGACCGCCAGCUAAGGUCCCAAAGUCAUGGUUAAGUGGGAAACGAUGUGGGAAGGCCCAGACAGCCAGGAUGUUGGCUUAGAAGCAGCCAUCAUUUAAAGAAAGCGUAAUAGCUCACUGGUCGAGUCGGCCUGCGCGGAAGAUGUAACGGGGCUAAACCAUGCACCGAAGCUGCGGCAGCGACACUAUGUGUUGUUGGGUAGGGGAGCGUUCUGUAAGCCUGUGAAGGUGGCCUGUGAGGGUUGCUGGAGGUAUCAGAAGUGCGAAUGCUGACAUAAGUAACGAUAAAGCGGGUGAAAAGCCCGCUCGCCGGAAGACCAAGGGUUCCUGUCCAACGUUAAUCGGGGCAGGGUGAGUCGACCCCUAAGGCGAGGCCGAAAGGCGUAGUCGAUGGGAAACAGGUUAAUAUUCCUGUACUUGGUGUUACUGCGAAGGGGGGACGGAGAAGGCUAUGUUGGCCGGGCGACGGUUGUCCCGGUUUAAGCGUGUAGGCUGGUUUUCCAGGCAAAUCCGGAAAACCAAGGCUGAGGCGUGAUGACGAGGCACUACGGUGCUGAAGCGACAAAUGCCCUGCUUCCAGGAAAAGCCUCUAAGCAUCAGGUAACAUCAAAUCGUACCCCAAACCGACACAGGUGGUCAGGUAGAGAAUACCAAGGCGCUUGAGAGAACUCGGGUGAAGGAACUAGGCAAAAUGGUGCCGUAACUUCGGGAGAAGGCACGCUGAUAUGUAGGUGAAGCGACUUGCUCGUGGAGCUGAAAUCAGUCGAAGAUACCAGCUGGCUGCAACUGUUUAUUAAAAACACAGCACUGUGCAAACACGAA
RNAcentral lists this ribosomal RNA (1429 nucleotides) under Escherichia coli. RNAcentral describes it as "partial 23S ribosomal RNA". It matches the Rfam family "Bacterial large subunit ribosomal RNA", at positions 419 to 1835 of the family's 2925-position model. The record is from RNAcentral. Lineage: Bacteria; Pseudomonadati; Pseudomonadota; Gammaproteobacteria; Enterobacterales; Enterobacteriaceae.